This 914-nucleotide ribosomal RNA is filed under the name uncultured bacterium. RNAcentral's name for it is "bacterial SSU rRNA". It matches the Rfam family "Bacterial small subunit ribosomal RNA", at positions 8 to 881 of the family's 1533-position model. The record is from RNAcentral.
AGAGUUUGAUCCUGGCUCAGGACGAACGCUGGCGGCGUGCCUAAUACAUGCAAGUCGAGCGAGCUUGCCUAGAUGAUUUUAGUGCUUGCACUAAAUGAAACUAGAUACAAGCGAGCGGCGGACGGGUGAGUAACACGUGGGUAACCUGCCCAAGAGACUGGGAUAACACCUGGAAACAGAUGCUAAUACCGGAUAACAACACUAGACGCAUGUCUAGAGUUUGAAAGAUGGUUCUGCUAUCACUCUUGGAUGGACCUGCGGUGCAUUAGCUAGUUGGUAAGGUAACGGCUUACCAAGGCAAUGAUGCAUAGCCGAGUUGAGAGACUGAUCGGCCACAUUGGGACUGAGACACGGCCCAAACUCCUACGGGAGGCAGCAGUAGGGAAUCUUCCACAAUGGACGAAAGUCUGAUGGAGCAACGCCGCGUGAGUGAAGAAGGGUUUCGGCUCGUAAAGCUCUGUUGGUAGUGAAGAAAGAUAGAGGUAGUAACUGGCCUUUAUUUGACGGUAAUUACUUAGAAAGUCACGGCUAACUACGUGCCAGCAGCCGCGGUAAUACGUAGGUGGCAAGCGUUGUCCGGAUUUAUUGGGCGUAAAGCGAGUGCAGGCGGUUCAAUAAGUCUGAUGUGAAAGCCUUCGGCUCAACCGGAGAAUUGCAUCAGAAACUGUUGAACUUGAGUGCAGAAGAGGAGAGUGGAACUCCAUGUGUAGCGGUGGAAUGCGUAGAUAUAUGGAAGAACACCAGUGGCGAAGGCGGCUCUCUGGUCUGCAACUGACGCUGAGGCUCGAAAGCAUGGGUAGCGAACAGGAUUAGAUACCCUGGUAGUCCAUGCCGUAAACGAUGAGUGCUAAGUGUUGGGAGGUUUCCGCCUCUCAGUGCUGCAGCUAACGCAUUAAGCACUCCACCUGGGGAGU